UACGUAGGGUGCAAGCGUUGUCCGGAAUUAUUUGGGCGUAAAGAGCUCGUAGGUGGUCUGUUACGUCUGCUGUGAAAACCUAGGGCUUUAACCCUGGGCCUGCAGUGGAUACGGGCAGACUAGAGGUAGGUAGGGGAGAAUGGAAUUCCCGGUGUAGCGGUGAAAUGCGCAGAUAUCGGGAGGAACACCGGUGGCGAAGGCGGUUCUCUGGGCCUUACCUGACACUGAGGAGCAAAAGCGUGGGGAGCGAACAGG
This 255-nucleotide ribosomal RNA is filed under the name uncultured bacterium. RNAcentral's name for it is "partial 16S ribosomal RNA". It matches the Rfam family "Bacterial small subunit ribosomal RNA", at positions 524 to 776 of the family's 1533-position model. The record is from RNAcentral.